RNAcentral lists this non-coding RNA (30 nucleotides) under Rattus norvegicus (Norway rat). The record is from RNAcentral. Lineage: Eukaryota; Metazoa; Chordata; Mammalia; Rodentia; Muridae.
UUCCUGGUCUGCUCUGGUUUGUGUGAUAGU